AUUGAACGCUGGCGGCAUGCUUUACACAUGCAAGUCGAACGGCAGCGCGGGCUUCGGCCUGGCGGCGAGUGGCGAACGGGUGAGUAAUGCAUCGGAACGUGCCCAGUAGUGGGGGAUAGCCCGGCGAAAGCCGGAUUAAUACCGCAUACGACCUGAGGGUGAAAGCGGGGGACCGAAAGGCCUCGCGCUAUUGGAGCGGCCGAUGUCGGAUUAGCUAGUUGGUGGGGUAAAGGCUUACCAAGGCGACGAUCCGUAGCUGGUCUGAGAGGACGACCAGCCAGCCGGGAAGAUGUAGGAGGACGGGACGCCUACGGGAGGCAGCAGUGGGGAAGGGGGGACGAUGGGCGUAAGCUUGAUACAGCAAUGCGGCGGGUGGGAAGAAGGUAUGCGGAGUGUAAAGGGGGGGAGGGUGGGAGGAAGGGAAGUAAGCUAAUACCGGGCGGGGGUGACGUGACCAAAAGAAUAAGCACGGGCUAACUUCGUG
Molecule: ribosomal RNA, 484 nt
Filed under: uncultured bacterium
Lineage: Bacteria
Description: partial 16S ribosomal RNA
Rfam family: Bacterial small subunit ribosomal RNA
Source: RNAcentral